This 253-nucleotide ribosomal RNA is filed under the name uncultured bacterium. RNAcentral describes it as "partial 16S ribosomal RNA". It matches the Rfam family "Bacterial small subunit ribosomal RNA", at positions 524 to 776 of the family's 1533-position model. The record is from RNAcentral.
UACAGAGGGGGCAAGCGUUGUUCGGAAUUACUGGGCGUAAAGGGCGCGUAGGCGGCCUUCUAAGUCGAACGUGAAAUCCCCGGGCUCAACCCGGGAACUGCGUCCGAUACUGGAAGGCUUGAAUCCGGGAGAGGGAUGCGGAAUUCCAGGUGUAGCGGUGAAAUGCGUAGAUAUCGGAAGGAACAUCAGUGGCGAAAGCGACUUCCUGGACCAGUACCGACGUUCAGGCACGAAAGCGUGGGGAGCAAACAGG